UACGGGGGGGGCAAGCGUUGUUCGGAAUUACUGGGCGUAAAGGGCUCGUAGGCGGCCAACUAAGUCGGAUGUGAAAUCCCAGGCUCAACCUGGGAACUGCAUCCGAUACUGGAUGGCUUGAAUUCGGGAGAGGGAUGCAGAAUUCCAGGUGUAGCGGUGAAAUGCGUAGAUAUCUGGAGGAAUACCGGUGGCGAAGGCGGGUCUCUGGGCAGUAACUGACGCUGAGGAGCGAAAGCGUGGGGAGCGAACAGG
This 252-nucleotide ribosomal RNA is filed under the name uncultured bacterium. Its description in RNAcentral is "partial 16S ribosomal RNA". It matches the Rfam family "Bacterial small subunit ribosomal RNA", at positions 524 to 776 of the family's 1533-position model. The record is from RNAcentral.